AACCUAAAAAGGCACAACAAACGGCAGCUGAUACAUAAGAAGGUCAGGCAAAUGGACUGCUCUGGGCUGCAGCGAGAAGAGCUGCUCGGUAGGCUGACACCUUGCUGAUCCAUCGAAGGUCCUGCAGUUAUUUUUAGGGGUCGCCCGGCAGCUGAAGAGCCAGUCCUGGUCACCAACAUCUGUAUCUUCCAUCUGUGUGGGUGAUGGUUUCCAGUUCACAAACAAAUCUGCAAGCUUCCUCCCUUUCUUCUCAGCCUUGCGGCUUUUCCGGUCAGAGCUGGACUGUUGUGCCUCUGUUACUGGGGAUGCUGCUGCCAAGACACUUCCAACAGAACAAGGCUCUUCUUGUGCUUCGGGCACAAUCUGUUGCUGCUGCUUGACAACAGGUGGUUCGACAUGCGCCUUCGGUUUGUUCAACAAGCCAGGUGGCUCAACACACAACAUCUCCGGCUUGCUUAACAAGAUAGGUGGAUCAGCACACACCUUGGGCUUGUUUAGCAGAGUAGGUCGCCCUGUGUUAAGCUGGCCCCCAAGUAGGGGACCUCCUGUUUCUUUCCUCAACUGAACUUGAGUACUCUCUCUGUUGAACACUUUCGAAAGAGUGAUAUGGCCAGCUAUUUGCAUUGCUUUCACAGGUGUAGCUUCAACCUCUUGCAUCACCUUUGUGGACGUGGGAUUAGCUCUCUGCAUUGACUUCACAGGUGCAGCUUCAACCCCUUGCAUAACCUUUGUGGGCGCAGGAUUAGCUCUUUGCAUCACUGCCUUCUCAGAUGAAGGCGGAUCAACUCUUUGCAUCGCAGCAAUCGGUGUUGACUUAGUUCUAACUCUCUGCACCAUAUUGACUCUUUGCAUGGACUUUGCAUCAUGCUGCUGACUGACUUUUCUUGACUCAUCCAAACAAUUGCCAUUCCUUAUAGACAUGUUCUUCUGUUGGGAGACAACUUGUUUCACCACUGACACUGUGUUGACAUGAGGCUGGAACUCUCUCUUCCUAUUGGCCAUGGACAGAUCCAUUCCGGUUUCUUUGACUGGUGAUUGUUCAGUAACUCUUGGUUUCAUUGACAUUCCUGUUGUUGCUUCUGGGUCUCUUCUUUGAUUUGUAGAAAAAUCCUUACCAUUUCUGGUUUGACUAGGGCUACUUGACACUUCAGUCCUCAGCCUCUUAGUGCUGUCCAGUGAGCUCUCUGGGGUACAACGCAAAGCCUGACUGUAGGAAGGAGCCUCAUGCUCUUCAGAAAGACUGCUCUUCUCCAAAUGCUCCAUGGUAACAUUACAAACUUUUCUUGUCUCCUCGCCAACUAUUUCACAGCCUGAGUGCUUUCUCUUCUUAUGGCCAUGCUUAGAGUGAUGAUCAUCUGUCUCAUAUUUCUCACCCAGCUGGGCAGCUUUCUUUUGUCUCCUUUUCUCUUUCUUCCUUUCCUUCUUUUCCUUCUUUUGCAUCAUUUCCCUUUCUUUCUGGAGCUUCAGCCACCAGAUUAAUCGUCAGUUCCAAUUCAGAACAGACGACGGGAAUGCAAAGAGGCAUGAAAACAAUGCACCAAUAUUGAUACUUUUUCUAGCGUAUAAUCAAUAAUCCGGACUCAACAGAUAAGAAACCAGUCCCCUUUGAAUUAUCCAACAAUGCUUACCUUCAACCUACAAAGUUCACUA
This 1650-nucleotide small RNA is filed under the name Oryza sativa Japonica Group (Japanese rice). RNAcentral's name for it is "sRNA Os10g0124150". The record is from RNAcentral. Lineage: Eukaryota; Viridiplantae; Streptophyta; Magnoliopsida; Poales; Poaceae.